UCUUUCUAUUUUCUUCCUUUCUUGCUGUGUUGGUAUUCCAAAAAAAAGUUGCAGUGUAUGUGUUUGAAUCAGGCUUUGUGCUAUGGAUAGUAAUGCCUCUAGCAAGUUCAUAUCCCAUUACCUCUUUGGCCUUUUAGUUUGGUGGUCAAAAAUUGAGAUGACACCCAGUCUUGUGAGAUCAGCAUUACCACACAACAAGAGCUGCAGACAACGCCAAUAAUAGAAGGAAUUUGGGAUGUCACAAUAGACCUUAUUAUUAUUUUUUAUAAUUGCUCUUGACGUCAGUGCACCUUCUCAUAUGUUAACAUCUUCUAUGUCAUCAUGGUGUACACACAUAUAUGAAGUGAAGCAAUAUUGUGGACAACUCAAGAAUACAAGCAUUUGCCAUUUGCACUCAUGGAGUAGGCAUUACCUCGAUUUUAUGUUCUUAUUCAAAUAUCGUGUGUCGAUUUCUUGAUCAAAACGUCUCUGUGAAAGCUGAUUUUUGGAUUUGCUAAUUUAAGAAGCAGAUAAGUUUCCACGAACAACACAUGCCACCGUUAAUGUAAUAUUAUUCUGAGCACUAUUUCCUUGAAAACCUGAGUGAAAUGUACUAUUUCCAUUUAUCUAAAAUGAUCUUACAGUCCUGCUGACAAGAAAAUUUAUCAAUGUAUUACUGUUCCUACAUUUGUUCACCCUUGGUCUGCAUGUUAAGAUGGCAAGCCUGAACAAGUACUCUUUCUGUACAGAGAAUGGUACUGUGCUAGCGCAAUCCAUCUUUGAUGUUCCUGGUAGAUGGAUCAUAUUAGUCAUUACGUGUGCUAUCCUGAAGCUACGGUUUUGAUGUGACAAUGCAAGAAGAUUGGUGUCGAGGCAAAGACUUACGGUGACAAUGCAAAAAGAUUGGUGUCGAUCUUAACUGCGCUUGGGACAAAUUCAUCUCCAUGGGGAUCAGCUAAGGCAAUCUUAUUUUGUAGUAAUUUUUUUCCACAUGAAUUUAAUCAAUUGAUGUUUGUGUGUUUAGUGGAAGGUUCAUGGUACUUGGUUUAGGGUUAGGUUUGUUUUUUGGAAUAACAUCUGCUGAAACCUGAAACAGUUAGCUGCAAUAGUUAGAUCGUCUAUGAAUAUGAACCAAGGUAGGUAAUUUUUCAUUCCCCCUCCUCACUAAUUAUAGCAGUAUAAAUGUCAAUGGACGGACUGCAGCUAGAAUCUUAGUGGAUGAUAACUUCUUUUCCUCAGAUUCAGCCGAUGUAUAUACAUCCUAAUAUGCCAACUGGUAAAAAAAGUAGUAAUAUUGAUUCUUCCGUAUCUGAGCUUAAUUUGCCCCAUUUACCAUAAACCUAAAAAUAUCCAUUCUGCUGAGUGCGCUGAAUGCCUUAUAUGUACAUCACCGUGCUUCAUGACUCAUAUAUACUCGACAGAUGAACACACACAGAAAAGUUUCAGCUAUCAGUGUUGUCAUGUCGUACAACAUACCGAGUAUUUUAUGGCUGAUUUACAUGGGACAGAAUGUUACUGAGCACGAUGAAAUACAUAUUUUGUUUACUUUAUAUAGUUUGUUGCGAUGCGUAUACAUCCUGGCUACAUAACCAUGAUUGGUUGAGUAAUCACAGCAAAUUGUAUGGCAUCAGCACCCCAUUUCAUUACGCCAUUGUCUUCUGAAUAAUGCUCUGUAGAUUCUUGGAAGCUUUUUCAUUAUUUGGCAUGCUAGAUAAUGGCACUGCUAUACUAUGUUGUUCGGAUAUGAUUUCUUUGUAUAUAGUGUUCAAGGUAUAAUAUAUCUCUGCCUUGGAGCGAAGUCAAGCUAGGGAUCACAUACAUGUCAACGAGGUGAUGGACCAUCUCUUGGUUUAAUGAAAAUAUAUUUUCUCCUUUUCCUUGACUAUAGCUUGACUCGAAAAUGUAUUCAGGCUGCUCUUAUUAACUUGAGAAAGCCCAUGAAAUUUCUCCAGAGGAUAAAACUGUUGCCGAGGUUCUAUAGCAUGGUUUACUUUUCUCCUAUUGCCGAGGUUCUGAAGUAUGGUUUACUUUUCUCUUGCAUAAACAAUAAUAAUUAUGCUGAUCUUACGCUCCUUCCCUGAAUUAUAUUGAGACCAGCUAAAGUAUAGGGAAUGCUAGGUGACGUUUGAUUUGGUCUGAAUGCCUACAAUGGUGAACAUUUUUAUUUCUCCCUUCAUAAAAAGUUUCUAUUUGGGAAUGUAUGUUGUUCCAUGAUGUAUCUCCAAUUUCUCAGCGGUGCUAAUUGUACUUUCUGUUGUAACAAGGUCUGCUAUAUACCAGAAUCUUAGCCAAACAUUCAUCAUGAGCAUAUACAAAAUUUUAAGGAACAAUCUUUUAUGUAGCUAUUACCUUUGUUGAUGUGCAAGAACACAGUUCAGGAUAUCUGAAUCUGAUUUGUGCACCGAACUAGGGGUAAUUUUUCCCAAGUACUUAGAUUUCUGUUGUACGUGCUGCUUUCUUGCAUCUGAUCCUGUUAUAAUGUUCAAUUGUGGGAACCUGAGUACUUCUUUUAAACAGUCUAAAGAAAAUGGUUCCUGGUGCACACCUCCCAUCUUCGAAGAACUUGACGUCUACGUUCAUAGGUCGAUGAUGUCCGGGACCUCAAGGCGUGGAUCAACCUGGCCAAGGAGAUGUAGGUAUAUGUGAAUGGCAUCGGAAAGAAAGUUCCAUUGCUUUCUUAUCAUUGGUUGUCUCCGAGAUUUCUUCCCUGCAUGUGCUAUACAAAAUAUGAUUUUGGCUGGUGGUAUACCGAAGUAUGGCUUUGUCGAAUUUCCACAAGUUGCUAUUGUAGCCCAGUUUCAGAUAGAUUUAAACCUGUAUAUUGGCUUGCUUACUUAUGUUUUGAAUGUCGGAGAAACAUGUUUUGUUCCUUCUGGGUUGGAUUUAUGAUGCACGUUGUGGCUCCACUGUAGUUGUAGUAGCGACUUGUGAGGUUUCUUGCUCAUUCUUGCAAACAUCAAUUGCCAGAACCGUA
This is a long non-coding RNA of Lolium perenne, 2953 nucleotides long. RefSeq lists it as uncharacterized. The record is from RefSeq and is a predicted model, not a curated record. Lineage: Eukaryota; Viridiplantae; Streptophyta; Magnoliopsida; Poales; Poaceae.